GAACUCGGCAAAAUGGCCCCGUAACUUCGGGAUAAGGGGCGCCCCUUGGAGAAGGCUUCGCAAGAAGAACCGGGGGGCUGCAGGAAUCGGUUGUUACGACUGUUUACUAAAAACACAGGUCUCUGCCAAGUCCACAAAGACGACGUAUAGAGACUGACGCUUGCUCGGUGCCGGAAGGUCAAGGUGAGGGGUCAGCCCGCAAGGGCGAAGCUCCGAGCCGAAGCCCCGGUUAACGGCGGCCGUAACUAUGACAGUCCUAAGGUAGCGAAGUUCCUUGUCGGGUAAGUUCCGACGCGCAUGAAUAGCGUAACGUAGCAACGCUGUCUCUACCGCAGACCCGGCGAAAUUGUAGUAGCGGUGAAGAUGCCGCUUACCCGCAGUUAGACGGAAAGACCCCGUGAACCUUCACUGUAGCCUAUUAUUGAGUUUGGGUGUGGCAUGUGUAGGAUAGGUGGGAGGCAUUGAAGCUGGGACGCCAGUCUCAGCAGAGCCGCCGGUGAAAUACCACCCUUGUUGCAUCUAAAUUCUAACUCGAUUCCUUGAACCAGGGUCCAGGACAGUGAUAGGUGGGCAGUUUGGCUGGGGCGGCUUCCUCCUAAAGAGUAACGGAGGAGCCCAAAGGCACCUUCAGCGCGGUUGGCAAUCGCGCGGAGAGCGUAAGGGUAUAAGGGUGCCUGACUGUGAGACCAAUAAGUCGAGCAGAGGUGAAAGCCGGGCCUAAUGAUCCGGCGUUACCGGGUGGAAGGGACGUCGCUCAUCAGAUAAAAGGUACUCCGGGGAUAACAGGCUGAUCUCUCCCAAGAGUCCAUAUCGACGGGGAGGUUUGGCACCUCGAUGUCGGCUCAUCACAUCCUGGGGCUGUAGGAGGUCCCAAGGGUUCGGCUGUUCGCCGAUUAAAGUGGUACGCGAGCUGGGUUUAGACCGGCGUGAGCCAGGUCGGUCCCUAUCUACUGUGGGUGCAGGAGACUUGCGGGGAGCUGUCCCUAGUACGAGGGGAUCGGGAUGGACGGACCUCUGGUGUACCUGUUGUCUCGUCAGAGGCACCGCAGGGUAGCUAUGUCCGGAAGGGAUAAGCGCUGAAAGCAUAUAAGUGCGAAGCCCCCCCCAAAACGAGGUCUCCCUGAAGGCACCUCGAAGACGACGAGGUUGAUAGGCCGGAGGUGUAAGCACGGCAACGUGUUCAGCCGACCGGUACUAAUCUGCCGUUCGGCUUGACCGU
Molecule: ribosomal RNA, 1219 nt
Filed under: metagenome
Description: bacterial LSU rRNA
Rfam family: Bacterial large subunit ribosomal RNA
Source: RNAcentral